GAGAUGGCAGGAUGCAGCUCAACCAAUGACUAUUGCUCGCUCCUCUUAGUUAAUUACAUUGCAUUGCGACAAAUUAAAUAGUCUAGAUAGGUUUGAAUAAGUGACAACAAGACUUGAAUUGACAUAAACCGCAAUAGAGAAGAUGGUUUGCAUGACAAUAUGGGCAUGCUUCCUCCAUCAAGAAGUCUCUUUCAUUGACUAUAAGUAUUUCCAGCA
RNAcentral lists this long non-coding RNA (216 nucleotides) under Elaeis guineensis (African oil palm). RNAcentral's name for it is "long non-coding RNA (EGUI_LNC002476)". Lineage: Eukaryota; Viridiplantae; Streptophyta; Magnoliopsida; Arecales; Arecaceae. The record is from RNAcentral.